AUCACUAUGGGUUCUGAGUGGUCCAGGUGAAUGAAAGAAAGAAGUGCUAAAUGCUACAUGGACCAAGCUAUGAAGAGAAUGUUUAGACAGCACAGUCCCAGCAGAGCUGAUGUCAUUGAACACUGUGAAAGGAAAACGGAUCUGUGUGGGAGAAGGCCUGGCCUCCAUUUUGCAG
Non-coding RNA from Oryctolagus cuniculus (rabbit), 175 nucleotides. Lineage: Eukaryota; Metazoa; Chordata; Mammalia; Lagomorpha; Leporidae. The record is from RefSeq and is a predicted model, not a curated record.